GUUCUCGUGGUGUAGUGGUUAUCAUACUGACUAUAGCGUCGUAGAGCGAUUCGAAACCAUACUCUCUUAGGGUGAUCUAACAUCUUGAGCUUUGCCUCCUCCUCUCUUCCGGAGAGGGAUUGGGAGUGGCCCCGGGUUCAAAUCCCGGCGAGGACC
This is a non-coding RNA of Trichosporon asahii var. asahii CBS 2479, 156 nucleotides long. NCBI's taxonomy places the organism in Eukaryota, Fungi, Basidiomycota, Tremellomycetes, Trichosporonales, Trichosporonaceae. The record is from the annotation of a RefSeq genome assembly.